UUACGAUUUGAGAAAGAUUGUCAAAGUUAGGGUUCAACGAUCACUUUGCAUGCAUAUGUUCGAUCAAACAAAACUCAUAAACUCCAUUAGAUGAUAAACACAUUCACAAAGUCCUCUCAAUGUGUUUAUCUCUAACACACAUUGUGAGUUUUUCCCAUUUUGAUCCAUUGUUGAUCUCUCACACAAUCUAUCAAAAUGACAACUUUUUUUAGGUUCAA
This 218-nucleotide long non-coding RNA is filed under the name Lathyrus oleraceus (garden pea). RNAcentral describes it as "Pisum sativum (pea) long non-coding RNA (PSAT_LNC004321)". The record is from RNAcentral. Lineage: Eukaryota; Viridiplantae; Streptophyta; Magnoliopsida; Fabales; Fabaceae.